GUUAAUGUCCUACUUCUGUCCCUUCCAACCCUGAACCUGUGCGCAGAGGCUGUGGUUCUCUGAUUUCCUUUUUUUUUUUUUUUUUUUUUUUUUUUUUUUUUUUUUUUUUUUUUUUUUUUUGGGGGGGGGGGGGGGGGCUGAUUUCCGGGGGGGGGGGGGGGGGGGGUCCUGGGCAGCUCCAAGUGUAUCUUAGCACAUCACUGAAGAACCUUGUCUCCUCCCCAGGGCUCUGAGGGAAGUGGAGCAUCUUACUGUCAGGCUCCGACCAUGUUCCCUCUGCCGGAGCCGUGUCUCAUCAGCACCACAACCCCCAGCGGGUCCAAGGUGAAGGACAAUGGAAAGCUGCAGAGCAGUCUAAGCUCAGACGCACAAAACCAAAGCCGUGAAUUUAACCACACCCGUGGGUUACCAGAAAUAAAACUGCUUCUUGGAGACAGCCACUGAAAAGAAGUCGUCAGUGACGGAAGACAGGCUUUUCAUUCUCCUCGGUGGUUUGCAGCAAAUUCGGAGCAUGCCAGGUCUUCUCUGCAUGUGUUUCUGAGCUGACUACAGAUCUAACAUCAUGAAAGUUCUAGAAUGUUUCUAAAUUGCUAUUUAGUCUUGUUCAUGAUUCCAAACGAAAAGUUCCACGGUAAGGUGCUGUUUUCCCAAGACACUCGGUGGGAGGAACUGCGCAUGAUUUGGGGGAAGAGCUCCAGCAGAUGGAAAAGCUGGCGCCACUAUUUUGAGAAAGACCUCCCUGUUUGUGUGUCGUCUAACCCACAACAAUAUGAACGCCAGGUGAACGGAGGCCUUCACCAAGGCCUGUUUGCGUGCAGGGACAUGCAAACGCGAAAUCUUUGCAGAAGCCACAAAGGAGGAAGCCGAGAUACAACAAGAGAGAGGAAUUUCGGGACAAUAGUCAAAAGGCCAACUUUAAAGAAGCACUGUCCCAAGGCAUUCCGGGUGGUUCUGAGUUGUACCCAACAUUCGCCUUGGUUUCUUCGAGCCUAGACAUCAUCUCUUGAAGUAAAAACCUACAACUCACCCUGGGGCAGAGAUGGCUGUUCUUCAUUCAAACCCACUUCCUCUCCCAGCCCACCUGCAGCCUCCUGACUGCACUCUAGGAGUGCACGAUGAAUCCAGUUCAGGACCCUGACUUCCAAGUGGCAAAUGGCUCCUCUGG
RNAcentral lists this long non-coding RNA (1165 nucleotides) under Mustela putorius furo (domestic ferret). Its description in RNAcentral is "lncRNA (ENSMPUG00000024575.1)". The record is from RNAcentral. Lineage: Eukaryota; Metazoa; Chordata; Mammalia; Carnivora; Mustelidae.